UGGGGAAUAUUGCACAAUGGAGGGAACUCUGAUGCAGCGACGCCGCGUGAGUGAUGAAGGAAUUCGUUUCGUAAAACUCUGUUUUAUGGGAAGAAAAGGACUGUACCACAGGAGAAAGCUCCGGCUAAAUACGUGCCAGCACCCGCGGUAAUACGUAUGGAGCGAGCGUUGUCCGGAAUUAUUGGGCGUAAAGGGUGCGCAGGCGGCUUUACAAGUUGGAUGUGAAAUAUUGUGGCUCAACCACAAGCGUGCAUCCAAAACUGCAAAGCUUGAGUUAAGGAGAGGUAAGUGGAAUUCCUGGUGUAGCGGUGGAAUGCGUAGAUAUCAGGAGGAAUACCGGUGGCGAAGGCGACUUACUGGACUUAUACUGACGCUCAGGGACGAAAGCGUGGGGAGCAAACAGG
RNAcentral lists this ribosomal RNA (404 nucleotides) under Fusobacteriota bacterium. Its description in RNAcentral is "Fusobacteria bacterium partial 16S ribosomal RNA". It matches the Rfam family "Bacterial small subunit ribosomal RNA", at positions 355 to 776 of the family's 1533-position model. The record is from RNAcentral. Lineage: Bacteria; Fusobacteriati; Fusobacteriota.